This 1523-nucleotide ribosomal RNA is filed under the name metagenome. RNAcentral's name for it is "bacterial LSU rRNA". It matches the Rfam family "Bacterial large subunit ribosomal RNA", at positions 1410 to 2925 of the family's 2925-position model. The record is from RNAcentral.
GGUAGUCGAUGGGAAACAGGUCAAUAUUCCUGUACCGAUUCUAGAUGCGAUGUGGGGACGGAGAAGGUUAGGUCAGCCGGGUGUUGGACGUCCCGGUUUAAGCGUGUAGGCGUGCCCCUUAGGCAAAUCCGGGGGGCUGAGCUGAGGCGUGAUGACGAGGAACCACGGUUCCGAAGUGAUUGAUACCAAGCUUCCAGGAAAAGCCACUAAGCUUCAGUCUAGAGUUGACCGUACCGCAAACCGACACAGGUGGGCAGGAUGAAAAUUCUAAGGCGCUUGAGGGAACUCAGGAGAAGGAACUCGGCAAAUUAACACCGUAACUUCGGGAGAAGGUGUGCCCCGGUAGCGUGUAGAGACUUGCUCUCGAAGCGCGAUGGGGUUGCAGUGAAAUGGUGGCUGCGACUGUUUAAUAAAAACACAGCACUCUGCAAACACGAAAGUGGACGUAUAGGGUGUGACGCCUGCCCGGUGCCGGAAGGUUAAGUGAUGGGGUGCAAGCUCUUGAUCGAAGCCCCGGUAAACGGCGGCCGUAACAAUAACGGUCCUAAGGUAGCGAAAUUCCUUGUCGGGUAAGUUCCGACCUGCACGAAUGGCGUAACGAUGGCCACACUGUCUCCUCCUGGGACUCAGCGAAGUUGAAAUGUUUGUGAAGAUGCAAUCUACCCGCGGCUAGACGGAAAGACCCCAUGAACCUUUACUGUAGCUUUGCAUUGGACUUUGAACCGGUUUGUGUAGGAUAGGUGGGAGACUGUGAAGCCGGGACGCCAGUUUCGGUGGAGUCAACCUUGAAAUACCACCCUGAUUUGUUUGAGGUUCUAACCUUGGUCCGUGAAUCCGGAUCGGGGACCGUGCAUGGUAGGCAGUUUGACUGGGGCGGUCUCCUCCCAAAAGGUAACGGAGGAGUACGAAGGUACGCUUAGGGCGGUCGGACAUCGCCCACAAAGUGCAAUGGCAAAAGCGUGCUUGACUGCGAGACCCACAAGUCGAGCAGGUACGAAAGUAGGUCAUAGUGAUCCGGUGGUUCUGUAUGGAAGGGCCAUCGCUCAACGGAUAAAAGGUACUCUGGGGAUAACAGGCUAAUUCCUCCCAAGAGUUCAUAUCGACGGGGGAGUUUGGCACCUCGAUGUCGGCUCAUCACAUCCUGGGGCUGUAGUCGGUCCCAAGGGUAUGGCUGUUCGCCAUUUAAAGUGGUACGCGAGCUGGGUUUAAAACGUCGUGAGACAGUUUGGUCCCUAUCUGCCGUGGGCGCUGGAAAUUUGAAGGGGGCUGCUCCUAGUACGAGAGGACCGGAGUGGACGAACCUCUGGUGUACCGGUUAUGACGCCAGUCGUAUCGCCGGGUAGCUAAGUUCGGAAGAGAUAAACGCUGAAAGCAUCUAAGCGUGAAACUCGCCUUAAGAUAAGAUUUCCCGGAGUCUUGAACUCCCUGAAGGGUCGUCGAAGACCACGACGUUGAUAGGUCAGGUGUGGAAGCGCAGCAAUGCGUUAAGCUAACUGAUACUAAUUGCCCGUGCGGCUUGAUCC